UACCAGCACCCCGAGUGGUCGGGACGAUUAUUGGGCCUAAAGCAUCCGUAGCCGGUUCUACAAGUCUUCCGUUAAAUCCACCUGCUUAACAGAUGGGCUGCGGAAGAUACUAUAGAGCUAGGAGGCGGGAGAGGCAAGCGGUACUCGAUGGGUAGGGGUAAAAUCCGUUGAUCCACUGAAGACCACCAGUGGCGAAGGCGGCUUGCCAGAACGCGCUCGACGGUGAGGGAUGAAAGCUGGGGGAGCAAACCGG
RNAcentral lists this ribosomal RNA (253 nucleotides) under uncultured bacterium. RNAcentral's name for it is "partial 16S ribosomal RNA". It matches the Rfam family "Archaeal small subunit ribosomal RNA", at positions 474 to 727 of the family's 1478-position model. The record is from RNAcentral.